GGUGAACGCUGGCGGCGUGCCUAAUACAUGCAAGUCGAGCGCCCUGCACAGUGCGCUUCUUAACUACGAGACAGGACACCGAAAUUUGCUCCUAAAGCAAAUUUGGUAUCACUAUCGAAGGGAUGAAAGCCUGGUAAAACAGGCUAAAACAUGAAGAAGCGUAGCGUGCAGGGAGCGGCGAACGGCUGAGUAACACGUUGGAACCUGCCCCAAAGUAAGGGAUAGCUCCGGGAAACCGGGAUUAAUACCUUAUGUGCUCUAUGGAGUAAAGAUUUAUCGCUUUGGGAGGGUCCCGCGGCUGAUUAGCUAGUUGGUAGGGUAUGGCCUACCAAGGCAAUGAUCAGUAGCUGGUCUGAGAGGAUGACCAGCCAGAUUGGGACUGAGACGCGGCCCAGACUCCUACGGGAGGCAGCAGUAGGGAAUCUUCCACAAUGGGCGCAAGCCUGAUGGAGCGACGCCGCGUGCAGGAUGGACGGUC
RNAcentral lists this ribosomal RNA (478 nucleotides) under uncultured bacterium. Its description in RNAcentral is "bacterial SSU rRNA". It matches the Rfam family "Bacterial small subunit ribosomal RNA", at positions 28 to 417 of the family's 1533-position model. The record is from RNAcentral.